Acanthosepion pharaonis is the source of this 112-nucleotide non-coding RNA. NCBI's taxonomy places the organism in Eukaryota, Metazoa, Mollusca, Cephalopoda, Sepiida, Sepiidae. The record is from the annotation of a GenBank genome assembly.
ACAGCCAUAUCACAUUAAAAACACCAGUUCUCAUCUGAUCACCAAAGUUAAGCAACAUCCAAGCCUGGUCCAUACCUAGAUGGGUGACCACUUGGGAAUAACAGGUGCUGCA